UCACUAAAAAUGGCUACGUAUAUUUUUGUUUUUGUUCUUAUAAAUGUUGCUUGUAACGCAUCAAAUGAGGCAUUUCGUGAAAAAUUUUUUAGGAAAGUGAAAGAUAACGGUGAAGCUCUAGCACCAGAAGUUAUCAUUUCAAGUCAUGUCGUUCACAAUGAGAUUCAAUGUUCUAUAAAAUGUCUUGAACAGAAGCAAUGUGUUGGCUUCAACUAUCUUGUUGCUGCGGUAAAAGAGCUUGAGAUCAACUGUCAAAUUAGCAAUUCAACACAACACAACAAUGGAUUGGUCAGCAAAGGAGCGUGGUUUUUAUAAAACCUGCCAAGAUGGACCUAUUUCUUUUCGGUUUUGUGUUGCGAAUCCCGCAGGCGAUCAUGUUGCAGUUCAACAAGAGGGCAAAAAAGAUAUAGAGUGUUUUGGGCCUGUAGGUGGUUGCACUUGGUACAGCACUCUUGAACAAUGUUCCAGCAGUUUAUCAAAGGCCAACGACGUUGGUGUUGCGUGUGGAGAGGAUCAUAAAAGCCGUUACGGUAAUACGGGAUACGAAAGUGAUGGACAUUGGUGUAAAUUGGCUAAAGAAAAAAUACCGUCCGAAACAACUGAUUGUUAAAAUAUUAAAUGUAAUCAAAGCAAGACUAAUUUAGCAGUUUGAAGCUUGGGAUCAUAAAAGGAAAACGUUAAAGUGAAAACUAGGCAAACAAAUAAACUGAUACUUUCAGUGAUCUAUUUAUCAAUAUAGUGCGUAGCCAUGUAAUUUAUUAUGCAAAAUCAUGCAUAAAAAACAAGAUUUUAUUGCCGCGUGGUGCGCCCUUAUUGUAACUAUAACAUGGGUAUGAUGUGAGCACUUCUGAACGUUAUGGAUAUUUCAAUAAAUACAUUAAAACAA
This is a long non-coding RNA of Xenia sp. Carnegie-2017, 886 nucleotides long. RefSeq lists it as uncharacterized. The record is from RefSeq and is a predicted model, not a curated record. NCBI's taxonomy places the organism in Eukaryota, Metazoa, Cnidaria, Anthozoa, Malacalcyonacea, Xeniidae. The transcript has 3 exons.